UCCCUGGUGGCUCAGACAGCAAAGAAUCUGCCUGCAAUGCAGGAGACCCAGGUUCGAUCCCUGGGUUGGGAA
This is a transfer RNA of Ovis aries (sheep), 72 nucleotides long. It matches the Rfam family "tRNA". From Rfam's summary of the family: Transfer RNA (tRNA) molecules are approximately 80 nucleotides in length. Lineage: Eukaryota; Metazoa; Chordata; Mammalia; Artiodactyla; Bovidae. The record is from Rfam.